This 307-nucleotide long non-coding RNA is filed under the name Pan troglodytes (chimpanzee). RNAcentral's name for it is "long non-coding RNA NONPTRT017996". The record is from RNAcentral. Lineage: Eukaryota; Metazoa; Chordata; Mammalia; Primates; Hominidae.
UGGUGAGGUUAUAUCCUAUAGAUCCCACUGCUGGAGAGAGGCUAAGUGAUCUUACACUGGUUUUGGCAACUGUGCUAGUAGUCAUGGCAUUGUUGUCGGCCUUGUUGUUCUGAAAAUACUACGGACGUGUGGGUGGAGCGUACACAGGUAGUGAGACAUAGCAAUUAUGUAUAAAGAUGAUGGAUGUAAGAGAAAAAAGACACAGAUAUAAAAUGGAAUAAACCACAUAGAAGCCAGUAAUAACGACUGAGCGAGGGUGAUGCCAUCUCCCCCCAUACAGAAAGGCAACAGGAUGUCACAUGCACCU